RNAcentral lists this ribosomal RNA (447 nucleotides) under uncultured bacterium. Its description in RNAcentral is "partial 16S ribosomal RNA". It matches the Rfam family "Bacterial small subunit ribosomal RNA", at positions 29 to 523 of the family's 1533-position model. The record is from RNAcentral.
AGCGAACGCUGGCGGCAGGCUUAACACAUGCAAGUCGAACGGUCCUUCGGGAUAGUGGCGGACGGGUGAGUAACACGUGGGAACGUACCCUUAGGUUCGGAACAACUCAGGGAAACUUGUGCUAAUACCGGAUAAGCCCUUAGGGGGAAAGAUUUAUCGCCUUUGGAGCGGCCCGCGUCUGAUUAGCUUGUUGGUGAGGCAAUGGCUCACCAAGGCUACGAUCAGUAGCUGGUCUGAGAGGAUGGCCAGCCACACUGGGACUGAGACACGGCCCAGACUGCUACGGGAGGCCGCAGUGGGGAAUCUUGCGCAAUGGGCGAAAGCCUGACGCAGCCAUGCCGCGUGGAUGAUGAAGGUCUUAGGAUUGUAAAAUCCUUUCACCGGGGACGAUAAUGACGGUACCCGGAGAAGAAGCCCCGGCUAACUUCGUGCCAGCCGCCGCCGUAA